This 74-nucleotide transfer RNA is filed under the name Candidatus Aminicenantes bacterium RBG_13_59_9. RNAcentral describes it as "tRNA-Arg". It matches the Rfam family "tRNA". From Rfam's summary of the family: Transfer RNA (tRNA) molecules are approximately 80 nucleotides in length. Their secondary structure includes four short double-helical elements and three loops (D, anti-codon, and T loops). Further hydrogen bonds mediate the characteristic L-shaped molecular structure. tRNAs have two regions of fundamental functional importance: the anti-codon, which is responsible for specific mRNA codon recognition, and the 3' end, to which the tRNAs corresponding amino acid is attached (by aminoacyl-tRNA synthetases). tRNAs cope with the degeneracy of the genetic code in two manners: having more than one tRNA (with a specific anti-codon) for a particular amino acid; and 'wobble' base-pairing, i.e. permitting non-standard base-pairing at the 3rd anti-codon position. RNAcentral also lists the same sequence under 4 other names. The record is from RNAcentral. Lineage: Bacteria; Candidatus Aminicenantota.
GCCCCUGUAGCUCAGUUGGAUAGAGCAGCGGAUUCCUAAUCCGGAGGUCGCCUGUUCGAGUCAGGCCAGGGGCA